Molecule: long non-coding RNA, 4518 nt
Organism: Pungitius pungitius (ninespine stickleback)
Lineage: Eukaryota; Metazoa; Chordata; Actinopteri; Perciformes; Gasterosteidae
Exons: 3
Source: RefSeq, a predicted model, not a curated record
CCAUCAGGCCACCCCAUCAUAGCCUAGCAAGGGCUCUGCCUGCUAUUUAUGCCACACACUCAAGACACCGAUUGUCAAGAAUUUCCUUGCAAACUGUCAUAUGUUAGUGAAUGUGUUUGGAGGAAGCAGCCGCGGCGGCAGAGGGCGAGCAGCACGGAGGGAGAGCGCCGCUUUUCAGCGGCUGAGCCAAUUGUCUUCUGGGCAGGAGGGGGCGUGCAGGAGGAAUCUGAACAGAGAGAAGACCUGCAAGUGAAAGACAGAAAGGCUCUAAAGUUGACAGCUCGUGCAGCUAAGCCCGUCAGGACAUCGCGGCCCAGACACCUCGGACGAUUCAUUAGGGAAGUUCAAUCUAAUUCACAUUAGUUGUGGAAAGUGCUGCACAUGCCACCACGGAGAAGGACUAUUCUUGUAUCAGGGCCAGUUUUCGAAAGCAGCCCAGGAGAUUUGGGGUUUAUGAAGUGCAGACAAGUGAACUGGUACACUGCAAGAUAAUUAAUCCGAGAUAAUGAAUGAGGCUACGAGGAUGCAUGCAAUCAUUAAUUCUAAUCACGACACGUUUAUUUGUCUCCCCUCUCUCCUCUAGGUUCAGAACACACAAAACGUCACUACAUAAUGUGUGAGAGGCACCGGUAAAGGAAGGAGAAAUCUAUGGAAAAAAAACAGUGAUGAGAUCGGUUGGGGAGAGAUGUUUGGAAUAUGAGGGAGAGAUACUAAAAGCCACUUCUUCUUCUACUUCUAGUUUCCGGGGUGGCCGUGUGUGACAUUAUAGCCGGCCCAGUCAGGCCAGACAGGCUCGACUCCGGUAAUACAGAGAGAAAUAUCACCACAGACUCCGCUGAGGGUACCGCGGAGGUAGUGGAAGAGGAGAGUACCGGCCCGCUGCUCCGCUCGGCUCUUUGCAGUCAAUUCACGGGACUUGCAAAAAAGCAGUGAUCUUUUUAUUCAUGAAACGACGCAUUACAGUUUAUGAAUACGUUCAUUUUAGGAAAUAAACAUUUCAUUUUCUGGUAUAAUCUGUAGUUGUUUUAACUUCACACGUGGCAGAUGGGAAAUAAUUCAGAGAUGUGAAAGUGUCCAUAUUUUCCACAAAAAAAACAAUAAGGAAAUUAAAAUCUGUGAAACAGGACGUUAUUUAAUUUCAUGUCAUGCAUGGGUUAAAGUGGGUGGGUUAUAAUGCAAUGUAGGUCGCUUCGGACUAAAGCGUCAGCUAAAUAACAUGUAAAGUAAAUAUCAAUUACAAUAAAAUAUAAACAUUGGUCACACAUUUCAUGUUAGCUCAGCAAAACUACCUACAACGCGUCCUCUUUUCUAGCGCCAUGACGUCGACCGCGUUUACAAAUUGCGUUUGAGUUGGUAGAUUUAGAAGCAGUAGGAGGGCGGCAUGCACCUCCUUUCCUUGUAAAGUCUGUCAGUCGUUCUUCACGGCAUUAUCGCGCAAUUCCGACUUUCUCAGCUCGUCCAUCAACUCCAGGGCAUGAGACUGAGAGGCUCUGGCAUCUAACACGCAGAGUCCCACGAUCGACUGAGCUAUGGCCUCCCCUCCCUCCCCUCCCCUCCUGUAGAUCGGCAGCCAAGCAUAUGCCGAUGUGAACUCAUCGUGGAUUAUUGAGCCAACUCUACCAACUCUACGCAAACAUUUUCCAGACUUUCCAACUCCGACCAGGCCUGUGCUGAGAGAAAUCCAAUGGGAUUUAUAGAUCAUCUCCCUACAGCUGUCUUUUCUCAGCCAGUACACCCCCACUCACCCCCCCCCCACACACACACAUACACAGUGCCAGUAUUCUUUCGUUUAUGAUCUGGCCACCAGGGCCAUUCGCAAAUACAGCUGCUACACUGUCUGUAGGUUUUCUCAAGUAGAUCAAAUGUGAAUUUGUCCUUUUGGAGUGCACAGCAUUAACCCUGCAUGGGACACCGAGGUCACCGAGGGACAAGGCCACCACCACGCUCACUGCUUUAGGGCGCAAAUUCAAUCCGGGUAAAGUGAGGGCUCGUGAUAUUAUACUAGUAUUACUCUUAACAAUUCUAUUAUGUUACGAUAUAUCGGAUUAUAUUUAGGUCAGCACAUGUUCCACACAUGCCAUGUGUAGAAAUACAUCUAAAACGUCUAGAUAUAUUUCUAAUGACUGAAUACUUAAUUGUGUGUGGGGGUUAUUCAUAUUUUUUUGACAAGUAAGAUGCCCACUUAUUUAUAUAGAAUUGCACUGGACAAGUAAUCUAACAGUAAUUAUUUAUAUAUAAAGUAAACCCGCGAGUAAAAGAUGAGCUUUGAAGUAAAUAUAUUUCGAUCGUAUCCAAUACAUACAUAUCAGUUCGAGUAGACUUUCUGGCAGCGACGGGUGGGUUUUGUCAACCAAAAACUCUUUAUUGGGAGAAACUGCCUUUUUCUCUCUUUUGAACACGCUCUAAACAGAGUGUCUGAGAAAUGAGCACACACGAUGUGCUGGUAAGAAGCCUCUAAAGCAGUUCCCCUAGUUCAGAUUAAUGGUUCUGCGGGCUUAUUCUGCAGUCGGGGUGAAAGGGCUAGGAUCACUAAUGAUUAUAAUAUAAUGCGUGGCGAUAACCACUCCCUUUGAGAUAUUAUCGCCCGAUGCACAAUGCUCUGGGGACGGGCUGCAGAGCGUCAGAUAGCUGAAGCUGCCGCAGCCAUCGCAGCGGAUUUCUUCUCUAUGAAAUAAAAAGCCCGCAAGCACGAAUGGAGAAGGAGAGCUGGCUGCAGCUGAUACCUGCGUUAAAAAGAGCAGAGCCGCCGUGAAUGCUGUUUAACCAUUUAUCUGCUGUUUUUUAUGUAUCAACCCUGAGAUGAUGGGGGUUUUAUGGUUAAGUUAUUAGUGGAUGUUUAGUUAGAAAAUCCUUGACCUAAUUUCCACCAUAAAGGACUAAAGCCCAAUGGUUUUAUUAGUAAAGUCUGCCAGGUGGUUUAAUUAUGAGGCCUACUACCUGGAUCAUUUAAUGCUUUACAAGAUGGCUUUUUACAGCACCAAAGAGGCCCUGUGGAAAUGCUCGUUGCUCAUCUGAUCUAAGCAGGUCUUUAUUUGUCUAAGCUUUUGGUUUGAAGAGGUGAAGAUAACAUCCGAAUUAUAAUGAAACAUUUAAUUCAUUAUGAAAUAAAGAAAAUCAUAAUCCAUAGUAUGAAUGUUAAAAGUAAUGAUUUCGUUUUUAAAAUUGAGCGUGCUCACUAUUUAAUCACUUUUUGACCACCCAACCCUUUUCUAAUUAAUACUUUUUAAUACCUGGGCAGUUAUUGGGUAUAAACUGUUUGAAAGGAGCUAGGUGGAAAAAACAUGCCAUGUCUAAUCUCCGAAUAUCAUUUGAAUUAAAACUGAUGCAGCUAGGCCUGUACAGUAAGAGUCUGCACCCGCAAAGCCAGGGGGCAGUCCCGAUUCAUCCUCAUCCAAAGAGCAGUACUAAUGUGAAAGCACAUAUGAACCUGAAAAUAUUCUCACGGUACAUAAAAAACCUUUAGCAUAAAGUGCGCGCAAAACUUGGCCAAAGUCGGUCAGGCUAGUGAUCCCUGCAUAAUACUCCUAAUUAACUAGCAAUAAAAAAACAACAGUCCUCAACAAUAUCUAAUGAAAAGGACUGCCGGAGAGGGGAAGAGGAGGAAGUGGAGGAAGAUGACUGAGUGAUGUUGCUGUGCUGGACGCCACAGCCAAUCCCGCUCCAUCCAUCUUCAUUGGAGCUUUGUGUGCACAAAAAGUAAAGGAACGCAUAAGGUAAAGCCUGCUUCAAAGCCACGGCUUUAUUUUAAUAUCCAAUAGAUCAGCAGGCAGACAAAGCUUUAUUUUCGCCAGGAGAGAUAUAUUUUACAUCUGCCUUACGGUUUUAUGUUGGAGAGGUGUCAGCCGGGGGAAAUAGAUGGCUAAUGCAUAGGCAAAGCACUGCUCGACUGGGCAUGCACGUCAGAGGGAGGAGGGGUGGGGGAGGGGCGGCGUGGGGUGCAGGGUAGAGCAGCGGAGAUUUAGGGCCCCUGCGGGGGGCAACAUGGGUAAGAGGACGCUGGGGCUGACUCCACUCAUACUGUAGCUUAUAACACAUCAGCACAUAUCAGUUAAACCAAUGCACAAGCUAAAAAUCCAUGCCCAGACCACAUGUUUAGGGGGGGGGGAAGCAGAGAUUUGUAAGAAUAAUGAUGGGAUUUGUUGAAUAGUAAGACAGGUGGACACACACUAAGAAAUUUCAAUCCAGUCACUGUUGUUUGUAUGUUUCAUAUCAUAUUCUAUUUAGUGCAUAAUUCUAUUCAUUAGCUUUCAAUUCCCAGCAAAAUUCAUGUUGUUAUUAAAAUGUGGACUCAACACAUAGAAAGAAACAUGUGUCACUGUUCGCUGGAACUGCAUUUUUCGGACAAUCCAGAGGAAAAUAAUAUGAAGACGAAGAAGUUUUCACACUCUUCUAAAUGAGCCUGGUCAAAUUUGAGAAUAUAUAGAAAACUCAGAAACACAACAAUAAUUUAAAUAAAUACUUAGAGAGAAUUUAUUUGUUAUAUAACUUCAUGGCGGCCUACAAUUCAUUCAUGUAGUA